GCGCCUUCUCGUCCUCGCAGGGGCGGACACGCGCAUCAAGAACAUCCACGGCGAGACGCCGCUCGAUCUCGCGAGGCGGCA
This 81-nucleotide transfer RNA is filed under the name Pavlova sp. CCMP459. RNAcentral describes it as "Selenocysteine transfer RNA". Lineage: Eukaryota; Haptophyta; Pavlovophyceae; Pavlovales; Pavlovaceae. The record is from RNAcentral.